GACGAACGCUGGCGGCGUGCUUAACACAUGCAAGUCGAACGGAAAGGCCCUGCUUUUGUGGGGUGCUCGAGUGGCGAACGGGUGAGUAACACGUGAGUAACCUGCCCUUGACUUUGGGAUAACUUCAGGAAACUGGGGCUAAUACCGGAUAGGAGCUCCUGCUGCAUGGUGGGGGUUGGAAAGUUUCGGCGGUUGGGGAUGGACUCGCGGCUUAUCAGCUUGUUGGUGGGGUAGUGGCUUACCAAGGCUUUGACGGGUAGCCGGCCUGAGAGGGUGACCGGCACAGCUGGGAGGGGGAGAGAGCGCAGAGGCGUAGGGAAGGGGGGAGUGGGAAUGAGGGAACAUGGGGGGGGAGCCGGGGGCGGAAGCGGCGGGGGGGGGAUGGCGGCCUUGGGGUUUAACACGGCGUGCGCAGGUGGCGAAGGGGGGGUGAGGGUAAUGGAAAAGAACACAGCGGCAAACAACGGGCCAGCAGCGGCAGUAAUAAAGAGAAGAGCACACGUUAAGUC
RNAcentral lists this ribosomal RNA (509 nucleotides) under uncultured bacterium. RNAcentral's name for it is "partial 16S ribosomal RNA". The stretch from base 20 to 332 matches the Rfam family "Bacterial small subunit ribosomal RNA", at positions 47 to 358 of the family's 1533-position model. The record is from RNAcentral.